This 482-nucleotide ribosomal RNA is filed under the name uncultured bacterium. RNAcentral describes it as "partial 16S ribosomal RNA". It matches the Rfam family "Bacterial small subunit ribosomal RNA", at positions 30 to 507 of the family's 1533-position model. The record is from RNAcentral.
AUUGAACGCUGGCGGCAUGCCUUACACAUGCAAGUCGAACGGUAACAGGUCUUCGGAUGCUGACGAGUGGCGAACGGGUGAGUAAUACAUCGGAACGUGCCCGAUCGUGGGGGAUAACGGAGCGAAAGCUUUGCUAAUACCGCAUACGAUCUACGGAUGCAAGCAGGGGACCGCAAGGCCUUGCGCGGACGGAGCGGCCGAUGGCAGAUUAGGUAGUUGGUGGGAUAAAAGCUUACCAAGCCGACGAUCUGUAGCUGGUCUGAGAGGACGACCAGCCACACUGGGACUGAGACACGGCCCAGACUCCUACGGGAGGCAGCAGUGGGGAAUUUUGGACAAUGGGCGAAAGCCUGAUCCAGCCAUGCCGCGUGCAGGAUGAAGGCCUUCGGGUUGUAAACUGCUUUUGUACGGAACGAAAAGACUCUUUCUAAUAAAGAGGGUCCAUGACGGUACCGUAAGAAUAAGCACCGGCUAACUACGUG